GACGAACCGUGCGAACGUUGUUCGGAAUCACUGGGCGUAAAGGGCGCGUAGGCGGCGCGGAUAGUCGGCGGUGAAAGCCCGGAGCUCAACUCCGGGUCGGCCGUCGAUACUUCCGGGCUUGAGCACUGUAGAGGCAGAUGGAAUUCCGGGUGUAGCGGUGGAAUGCGUAGAGAUCCGGAAGAACACCGGUGGCGAAGGCAGAUCUCUGGGCCGUAACUGACGCUGAGGAGCGAAAGCAUGGGGAGCGAACAGG
RNAcentral lists this ribosomal RNA (253 nucleotides) under uncultured bacterium. RNAcentral's name for it is "partial 16S ribosomal RNA". It matches the Rfam family "Bacterial small subunit ribosomal RNA", at positions 524 to 776 of the family's 1533-position model. The record is from RNAcentral.